GUCGUUAUAGGGCAGUGGUUACCCCGUGGGCCUGCUAAUAUUGGAAACUUAGCAUCAAGCCUUCGCUUGAGUAAGCUCAUGCCUUCGGGCGCGACGGUUCGAAUCCGUCUGACGACG
This is a transfer RNA of Ceraceosorus bombacis, 117 nucleotides long. It matches the Rfam family "tRNA". Rfam says of the family: Transfer RNA (tRNA) molecules are approximately 80 nucleotides in length. Their secondary structure includes four short double-helical elements and three loops (D, anti-codon, and T loops). NCBI's taxonomy places the organism in Eukaryota, Fungi, Basidiomycota, Exobasidiomycetes, Ceraceosorales, Ceraceosoraceae. The record is from Rfam.